AUUGAACGCUGGCGGCAUGCUUUACACAUGCAAGUCGAACGGUAACAGGCCGCAAGGUGCUGACGAGUGGCGAACGGGUGAGCAAUGCAUCGGACCGUGCCCAGUCGCGGGGGAUAACGCAGCGAAAGCUGUGCUAAUACCGCAUACGACCUAUGGAUGAAAGCGGGGGACCGUAAGGCCUCGCGCGAUUGGAGCGGCAGAUGUCCGAUUAGGUAGUUGGUGGGGUAACGGCUCACCAAGCCAACGAUCUGUAGCUGGUCUGAGAGGACGACCAGCCACACUGGGACUGAGACACGGCCCAGACUCCUACGGGAGGCAGCAGUGGGGAAUUUUGGACAAUGGGCGCAAGCCUGAUCCAGCAAUGCCGCGUGCAGGAAGAAGGCCUUCGGGUUGUAAACUGCUUUUGUACGGAACGAAACGGCGAGCUCUAAUACAGUUUGCUAAUGACGGUACCGUAAGAAUAAGCACCGGCUAACUACGUGCCAGCCGCCGCAGUAA
Molecule: ribosomal RNA, 498 nt
Filed under: uncultured bacterium
Lineage: Bacteria
Description: partial 16S ribosomal RNA
Rfam family: Bacterial small subunit ribosomal RNA
Source: RNAcentral